GGUGUAUUUUUUUGAAAGUUGAAAAGAAGUAUUUGGAGAGAGAAGCUUCUUGGCAUGAAUUUAGGUAGAAAAAAUGCAUGAAUUAGAACUUAGAUGAGAGAGAUAUGCUUCUUUAAACUUAGGAUACUAAUUUGAUAACUACUAUCACUUUUCCAUGCAUAUUAGGAGUUUUAAGAUACUAGCAAGAAAUCAAGGAGUUGGGUUAGAAACUAGACUUUAAGUUGAACAUUAUAUGUAUAAGAAUCAAUAGAAGUGAAUCUAGAAUGAAUGAGAUAUGACUGAUUCAAACCAACAAACUAAAACUAGGGUUUUGAAGAAAUUAGAGAAAUAGAGGGUUUUGGUUUUAAGCUAGAACUUGAGCUUCAAGACGAAUUUGAAGCUCUUUUUU
This 388-nucleotide long non-coding RNA is filed under the name Physcomitrium patens. RNAcentral describes it as "long non-coding RNA (PPAT_LNC005350)". Lineage: Eukaryota; Viridiplantae; Streptophyta; Bryopsida; Funariales; Funariaceae. The record is from RNAcentral.